RNAcentral lists this unclassified non-coding RNA (218 nucleotides) under uncultured Tomentella. RNAcentral describes it as "sequence contains ITS2". The record is from RNAcentral. Lineage: Eukaryota; Fungi; Basidiomycota; Agaricomycetes; Thelephorales; Thelephoraceae.
ACACCUCAACUCCUCAUGGUUUGCCAUGAUGAGCUUGGACUCUGGGGGUUUUGCUGGCCUGCGGUCGGCUCCCCUCAAAUGAAUCAGCCUCCCAGUGUUUGGUGGCAUCGCGGGUGUGAUAAAUAUCUACGCUCGCGGUUGUCUGCCAGGUAACCUUUGGUGACAAAGGUUUGCUGGAGCUCACAGAUGUCUCUCCUUGGCGAGGACAGCUUUUGAAC